This 435-nucleotide ribosomal RNA is filed under the name uncultured Alphaproteobacteria bacterium. RNAcentral's name for it is "bacterial SSU rRNA". It matches the Rfam family "Bacterial small subunit ribosomal RNA", at positions 29 to 509 of the family's 1533-position model. The record is from RNAcentral. Lineage: Bacteria; Pseudomonadati; Pseudomonadota; Alphaproteobacteria.
AACGUACGCUGGCGGCACGCCUAACACAUGCAAGUCGAACGCAGUAGCAAUACUGAGUGGCAAACGGGUGAGUAUAAUGUGGGAAUCUGCCUUUUGGUUUGGAAUAACACGAGGAAACUUGUGCUAAUACCGGAUAAGCCUUUACAGGGAAAGUUUUAACGCCGAAAGAUGAGCCCGCACUUGAUUAGCUAGUUGGUAAGGUAAUAGCUUACCAAGGCAACGAUCAAUAGCUGUUCUUAGAGGAAGACCAGCCACAUUGGGACUGAGACACGGCCCAAACUCCUACGGGAGGCAGCAGUGGGGAAUCUUGCACAAUGGGGGAAACCCUGAUGCAGCGAUGCCGCGUGAGUGAAGAAGGCCUUUGGGUUGUAAAACUCUUUCGUCGGGGAAGAAAAUGACUGUACCCGAAUAAGAAGGUCCGGCUAACUUCGUGCC